AGCAUAUCAAUAAGCGGAGGAAAAGAAACUAACAAGGAUUCCCCUAGUAACUGCGAGUGAAGCGGGAAAAGCUCAAAUUUAAAAUCUGGCGGUCUUCGGCCGUCCGAGUUGUAGUCUGGAGAAGUGCUUUCCGCGCUGGACCGUGUACAAGUCUCUUGGAACAGAGCGUCAUAGAGGGUGAGAAUCCCGUCUUUGACACGGACUACCAGUGCUUUGUGAUGCGCUCUCAAAGAGUCGAGUUGUUUGGGAAUGCAGCUCAAAAUGGGUGGUAAAUUCCAUCUAAAGCUAAAUAUUGGCGAGAGACCGAUAGCGAACAAGUACCGUGAGGGAAAGAUGAAAAGCACUUUGGAAAGAGAGUUAAACAGUACGUGAAAUUGCUGAAAGGGAAACGAUUGAAGUCAGUCGCGUUGGCCAGGACUCAGCCUUGCUUUUUGCUCGGUGCAUUUUCUGGUUGACGGGCCAGCAUCGAUUUUAACCGUCGGAAAAAGGUUGGGGGAAUGUGGCACCUUCGGGUGUGUUAUAGCCCUCAGUCACAUACGGCGAUUGGGAUCGAGGACCGCAGCACGCCUUUAUGGCCGGGGUUCGCCCACGUUCGUGCUUAGGAUGCUGGCGUAAUGGCUUUAAACGACCCGUCUUGAAACACGGACCAAGGAGUCUAACAUGCCUGCGAGUGUUUGGGUGGAAAACCCGAGCGCGUAAUGAAAGUGAAAGUUGAGAUCCCUGUCGCGGGGAGCAUCGACGCCCGGACUUGAACUUCGGUGAUAGAUCUGCGGUAGAGCAUGUAUGUUGGGACCCGAAAGAUGGUGAACUAUGCCUGAAUAGGGUGAAGCCAGAGGAAACUCUGGUGGAGGCUCGUAGCGAUUCUGACGUGCAAAUCGAUCGUCAAAUUUGGGUAUAGGGGCGAAAGACUAAUCGAACCAUCUAGUAGCUGGUUCCUGC
This 939-nucleotide ribosomal RNA is filed under the name Neoantrodia variiformis. RNAcentral's name for it is "LSU rRNA". It matches the Rfam family "Eukaryotic large subunit ribosomal RNA", at positions 37 to 961 of the family's 3401-position model. Lineage: Eukaryota; Fungi; Basidiomycota; Agaricomycetes; Polyporales; Fomitopsidaceae. The record is from RNAcentral.